Molecule: long non-coding RNA, 310 nt
Organism: Hibiscus syriacus
Lineage: Eukaryota; Viridiplantae; Streptophyta; Magnoliopsida; Malvales; Malvaceae
Exons: 4
Source: RefSeq, a predicted model, not a curated record
UAUCAGGAAAACACCAUGGGAAAAGCUGCAUCAAGAAAAAAAGGAAGUUUCUCAGCACUCCGAUGCUCAUCCCUAGACCCUAAAAAUCUCUAUAAAAAGCCACGCUGUCUUCGCUUCAUCACACAAUCUCCAUCGUCACUCUCAACAAAGUAGCAGGAGAUGAUGCGAGCACCACCAAGACAUCAACACUGUUCAUUGCAUCGCUUCUUUGCCUUGCUACUCUCAGAGGUUGCUGAUGGCUCAUGCAGCACCAGCCCCAGGCCCCCCAGUUGCAGAUGAAUGCCCGAAGAAGUGUGCAUAUAGAUGCAGC